UUUGAGGUAAGUGCUGUUAUGUUGAGCAGAAUUCACCAAGCGUUGGAUUGUUCACCCACUAAUAGGGAACGUGAGCUGGGGUUAGACCGUCGUGAGACAGGUU
Molecule: non-coding RNA, 103 nt
Filed under: Salmo salar (Atlantic salmon)
Lineage: Eukaryota; Metazoa; Chordata; Actinopteri; Salmoniformes; Salmonidae
Description: Eukaryotic large subunit ribosomal RNA
Rfam family: Eukaryotic large subunit ribosomal RNA
Source: Rfam by way of RNAcentral